UACGUAGGGUGCAAGCGUUGUCCGGAAUUAUUGGGCGUAAAGAGCUCGUAGGCGGUUUGUCGCGUCUGCUGUGAAAACGCGAGGCUCAACCUCGCGCCUGCAGUGGGUACGGGCAGACUAGAGUGCGGUAGGGGAGAUUGGAAUUCCUGGUGUAGCGGUGGAAUGCGCAGAUAUCAGGAGGAACACCGGUGGCGAAGGCAGGUCUCUGGGCCGAUACUGACGCUGGAGGAGCGAAAGCGUGGGGAGCAAACAGG
RNAcentral lists this ribosomal RNA (254 nucleotides) under uncultured bacterium. RNAcentral's name for it is "partial 16S ribosomal RNA". It matches the Rfam family "Bacterial small subunit ribosomal RNA", at positions 524 to 776 of the family's 1533-position model. The record is from RNAcentral.